This 671-nucleotide long non-coding RNA is filed under the name Rattus norvegicus (Norway rat). RNAcentral's name for it is "long non-coding RNA NONRATT031818". Lineage: Eukaryota; Metazoa; Chordata; Mammalia; Rodentia; Muridae. The record is from RNAcentral.
UCUCUGUGAGUUAACAUUCCCUCUGAUUCUCACAAGUCUGGCUAUGUCUCCAGAAAAAAAGAAAAAAAAGAAAAAAAAAGAAAAAGAAAAAGAAAAAAAAAGCCGUCAAUCACAGAUGACUUGGAUUCAACCGCGUCUUCUUUGAUUAUUUUGACACAUUUUGACAAAAUCUAAACCUAGAAACAACGGAAGAACUGACCUCAGACAGCCUGAGAUUCGCAGCACCGGCUUUUCGCGUGAAGGAAAUUCUGGACCUGAAUGAUACCUGCACUGAAAUCUGCUUUGCUUCUCUCCCCCCACCCCGACCCCCAGAUCUUGAGGUCCUUCCCUGAGAAAUGAAGAAUUUCAUUUGCUGCUGUUAAAAGUGCUCAAAGCAGAGAGCCCUCAACGAGUACUUCAUCUGAGACUAGAAGACGGUUCAGUCCAUCGAGUGCUUGCUCUGAGUUUGAACACCAGAAACUGUACAGAAAUGCCAGGUAUGGUGGCACCCUGGAGAAGCAGAACAGGCAGCUCCCUAGGGCUUGCUGGCCAGCCCAGCCUACUUAGCAAGUUCCAGAGGAGUUGAAAGACUCUGUCUCAAAAAGAACAGCAAAGGAGGCAGACAGGAGGGAGUUCAGUGGGUAAAGGCACUUGCCACAGAACCUGAUGACUUGAGUUCAAUUCCCAGAGCC